This is a non-coding RNA of Phalacrocorax carbo (great cormorant), 2734 nucleotides long. The record is from RefSeq and is a predicted model, not a curated record. NCBI's taxonomy places the organism in Eukaryota, Metazoa, Chordata, Aves, Suliformes, Phalacrocoracidae.
AUAGGUUAUUAAUACACUUCUAAACUUUAACAGUUAACACAGUAAUCUUCCUGGCAGUACACUUGCCACAAUAAAAUUAAUUUGCUUAUGAUAUACAGCUAAAUUCAUAUACUUCAUGGGGAGUGAGGUAAUAUAUGUGCAAUGGGACCUCUUUAAAUUGGCAUCUUGACUGCUGUUGUUGCCAAACUCAAAUCUCAAAUCAUGUCAGACUCCCAGAACUAUGAAGUUGACUGAAAAGAUGCUAGUAUGAAAACUAAAGGCAUUCUCUGUUUCUUUUAUUUGCCUUUUGGUUUUGAAACUUCAUGGUGCACUUCACUCAUGUUUUUAGACUUUUUACUGUUAUUGUAAGGACUGUAAUUUUUUUUAGUAAACCUUUUGUGUCUUAUGUGAUUUCAGGAGACAGAUGUAUGUAAGUUAAUAACACAAGACUCAUGAGAAGACCCCUGGUCUCUCUUACCUUUGAAAGAGGAAGGAGCAGAAAGUACCUUUUCAGCUGCUUUAAGAAAUUACAGUAGUGUAAAUUCUUAAGUUUCUUUAAGCACUUGAUGUGGGCUGAUGCCCACUGACAUCCAUUCAAAGGUCUGCUCUUUCUUCAUCGAUGCAGACCUAAAGCAUGUGUAACUCUCAAUUUCUGUAGGGUUUUUCCUUCUAAAUAUGUAUGCUCCAUACUAGACAUUGCAUGUUGAGCGUCACAGUUAACCCUUCUGAUGCAUGUGGAGGGACAUUGUAGCAAUGUUAUUUUAAUUUUUCUCCAGGAAGCUGUUUUUGAAAACUGCACCUUAAUUCAGGACAGUUGAAUUGAGUUUUGUUAAACUUUUGAAAUAACAAUGCUCUCAGGGAAAAUACUGAACCUGUGAGGUUUUCAGCAGUAAAGAUUAAUAUACUAAAGAUCAGUCUGUAAAAUGAACUGUUGUCUUCUCUGCCUUAUACCUGACCACUCAUAUGUCAGAUGCCUGCUGCAUGAGUGACUGCCGUGGUCAUGAUGCAACACCCUUUCAUGAAGGUGUAAAUGAUACAGAUGGAGUAUUUGUGGGUUUGCAUACUGUAUUGUCAGUGGAAGCAGAGGUUCUAUCUAAUAUAAAAAUACACUGGUUUAGAAGAUCUAUUUUCACCAGUAAGAAGAGGUAUCUCGAACAGAGAGGACUUGACUUAAUUUGUUUAAGCCCAUUUGGGUGUUACUAAGUGUAAAUCUGGAGCAACACAGCGGUAAGAACUGGUCUGUAAGUAAAGUAGAUGGUGCAGAAAGAGGGCUUGUUCAAAGUGCCUAGUGUUUAAUGUUUUGAAACAUUCUGCAACAGGACAGAGUAAUAGUGAAAUACCCCUCUGCUAAAUAUAGCAUCUCUAGUGUAUGUUAGCAUGAAUCCUGCACGUGUUGUAUGACUUCCUCUGUAGGACAGAAUGUGUUGUGGGACUUCCAGAGGUAAUGCUGAAGACAAAGUCAGGGCUUUUCAGGCUUUGUGGGUUUGAACUGCUGGAGUAAACUAAAAUGACUAGGUGCAUUUUCAAUGUGCUAUUACUUUCCUACAUGUAUUAACAUUCAUUAAACCAUUUGCCUUGGUGUGGUUUGCCUAGAAGGUUCGUAAUUUAGUCUUUCAGUUAUUCACUGUGGUUACACCUGAAAUAUCUUUGUCUUUUUACUACCUCAGACCAUUACACACUGGAACAAUAGUUAUUUUGCAAUCAGAAUUAUAGCUAUGUAAUUCUGUCGCGAAGGAAGGAAAAAUGAACCAAAUGUGUAAAGUCCAAUAAUACAGGAAACAUGGCAAAAGAGCCAGCCAGUUCUUUUUAAAAGGUACACUGCAGAUAAAAGAACGAUGGCCUUAUGAGCACAGACUGGAACUCAGGAGAACAUAUUCUUUUUCUUGGUUCUGUUUCUUGUUUGUUUUUGACAAAUACUUUAGAACCCAUUUCUUCUGUUGAAAUUAUCAGGGAUUAGAUGCUUGAGUACCUUGGUCUCUAUUCAUCCUCUUACCGUGUGGAAGUGGGCCAAGCCUGAGCUGCUGCUAGUUAUCAGCUAACUCUGCCAGUGUUGGACAUUUGGAUGGAAGACAGAAACCUGUUCACCCAAACAGCUUAACAUUAAUCUCUCCUGAAUGGUGCUAGAGGCAGAGCAAGAGGCAGGAGUCUGCACUUACUUUGAAACUGUUCCUCCAGGAGUGCCUUGGUCUUGGAGUGCAUGAACUGGGUUUCUUCUGGAUGAAAUUAACUGGAAGAUGUGCUCCAGGAACACACCAGGAGGGCACCACAGCCACAAAUGGACCCUGAGUCACUGGAAUCACACUAGAAGUAAUAAAAAGUAAAGAGCACCUGAAAAGCACUUUUUUGGACCUCAGAUCCUCAGCACCGUUUCACUCUACACAUCUUCUCCUGUCCAUAUAUAGCCUAUAAUACUUGCCAAUGUAGACAUAGUCACCGAGCAACAUACUGAUGUGGCAUUCAGUGAAUUUUUUAGGGGGUGGGAGUGGAUGAACUUUUUUUUCACUAACUCUUGCCCAAUAAACAUAUAAAUAACUAUUAGUAUAUCAACGCUGAAUCUGACUAUCUGAUCAUAGGGUAAAAUGCUUAGGGUACGUUCUUUGUAUAUAUAUAACCUAGCAUUAUACAAAUACACAUGUGUGCCUCUGGUUAUUCACAGGUGCUGUUUAUCAGUGCAAAUAUUGGUAACAAAUAAUCGAGUGCAAGAUGAUAAUGUAAUAAAAUUAAUGAAUGCAGUAUUUUUAAAAGCUGAAAACAA